RNAcentral lists this ribosomal RNA (206 nucleotides) under uncultured bacterium. RNAcentral's name for it is "partial 16S ribosomal RNA". It matches the Rfam family "Bacterial small subunit ribosomal RNA", at positions 1295 to 1500 of the family's 1533-position model. The record is from RNAcentral.
GGACUGCAGGCUGCAACCCGCCUGCACGAAGCCGGAGUUGCUAGUAAUCGCGAAUCAGAAUGUCGCGGUGAAUGCGUUCCCGGGUCUUGUACACACCGCCCGUCACACCAUGGGAGUCAGCAACGCCCGAAGUCAGUGACCUAACCGAGAGGAAGGAGCUGCCGAAGGCGGGGCAGGUAACUGGGGUGAAGUCGUAACAAGGUACC